Molecule: non-coding RNA, 1165 nt
Organism: Camelina sativa (false flax)
Lineage: Eukaryota; Viridiplantae; Streptophyta; Magnoliopsida; Brassicales; Brassicaceae
Source: RefSeq, a predicted model, not a curated record
CUUCUCUGCUUUGGUUAACACAGAUCAAAGCUAGCUUCUCUUUUUACCUCUUUGCUCGUUUAUCUCACCAUCAUUCUUCAGCUUCGUUCUCUGUUAAAUUUUACAGUUAAGGAAUUGGAAUCAGUGGGUGUAACCGUGUUAGGUAACAAAAAGAAACUGGUGCGAGGAUGAGGACGAAGGUAGACGAACGUAGAUAGUUAAUCUUCAUCACACUUUGUCAAAAUCGUGUGGUCAAGUGUGCUAUGGUGCUACAUGAACAGGCUCGACAUUAGCAGAUUUUGAAGCUCUAACUCCAAAUCUACUAGCACGAACAAUAGAGACGGUUGAAGGGGGUGGUCUAAAACUGUCUUUGCUUAUGGUCCUGACCAGUCGCAAGGGAUUUUUGUGAAGAGUUUAAAGGAAAUAAACUUCUUAAGAGCAGAUCUCAUCUUCAGCACCCAUAGUGAAGACGCAGGGUACUGAAUACUGAUUCAGGCGUUGACACGUAUUUUGGCCUGUGCACUUAACCUGGUCAGGACUCAGGAGCUCCGGGAGCCGUAUCGAUUUUAAGGUAACACUUGAAAACUCCCCAUAUCACCGCUUAUUUGAAAAAAAGCACUAAGUUGGGUUAAUCAAAGAUAAAAAAAAGGGCCAUACCAUGACUGAUUCAGUUAUGUCUAGGUUGAUCUCUUCCCAGCAAAUCAUUCAAUAAAAAACAGGUCAUAAAUUCAUCACAGGUGUAUCCAAGGGAUAUAUAUCUAUGCAUUUGGACUCAUAGCCUGGACGGGAAAUGUGUUGAACAGAAGGGAUGAAUAUGAUAUAAUACAUUGUUGGUAAAGAAAGAAAAACAGAUAUAGUUUUUAUAUGCCAUGGAAACCGCAGGUUGAGAUUGCUAGCAGAAUCCAAAGGCUAUCGAAUUUGAUGACACUGGACUAUUCCCGGCUACUCACACUCGCAGAUCUGGUGGUAACCGGGGUGCUAGAGGAACCGAUUUCUUUGGAUUUCCUUGGUUAAAGCCACACGAGAGGAAUCUUUAAAGGACUCACCUAAGGAAAAGCCUUUGGUUGUUGAAGCUAAAGAACAAAUAAUUUUCUUUUGCUCGUUUUGAAUAGGUUCUGUAGUUUUUGUAACUACUAUAUAUCCUGGACAACUGAAUUAGAUGUUAUGAUGUUUUGUAUAUCUUUAA